GUGGAAUGAAAUAAGGAAGUAGAGAUAUAAACAAGAAAAUGACUUAGAAGUUAUUAUUUUUCUUGAAACUGUGUUAAUUUCAUUUCACCAGUGUAUUAUUAUCUGUGGCCCCUACGUAAUAAUCUGAACAACAAAAAAUUUUUAGACUCGAAUUUGGAGAAAAAACUCAGAUGAAGAUAUUUAUAUAAAUCGAUAGAGGAGAAUGAUAGAAUUUUUGUGGUCAUAUACAAAGUGUUCGUAAUUUUUCUAAUUUGAAUUUCAAAGCAAAACCUCCAUCUCACGAAAAUAAUACGACCAUAAUAAAACCUAUCAUUCAAUUCUCCCCAAAAGUAAGCACUCGACAGAUUGAAAAGGAGGACAAUUAUAGAGCAAGUUAAACAACUGAAAGUGGACCAAAAGUAAACAUGUGACAGUCUGAAAAGGAGGAUAUGGAACAACUGAAAGUACCCCAAAAGUAAGCAUUUGAAUCUGAAAGGGGCAUAAUUAUAGAGGACGUGGAACAACUGAGGGUAUCUCAAAAGUAAGCAUGUGACAAUCUGAAAAGGACGACAAUAAUAGAGGAUAUAGAACAGUUGAAAGGACCCCAAAAGUUAAUACGAUUGGUGAACAUGUUUAGAGAGAGGCAGGAUAAAGAAGAUUGAAAAUAAUGGAAAUGGAAGAAACAAAAUAGUACAGUUAAGUGACCUCAGCUUCGAAGUACACUUUUAAUUGAGAUAAGCAACAAGAAUGACACAAAAUACGUGACGAGACACAUAAUUCUUGCAGGACGUAGGGUAUAUGGUGGAUAAAAGCGGACACACAUCAAAAAAAUGAAAAAACGAUAGCGGAAAAGUAUAAUUACAAAAUGGAGAACGAGAAAAUAGUGCCAGGAAGACCGAAAAGUAGAUGCAGGGUCAAAAGAGCACAAUUCGAGCCGGUACAAUUCUUUAUACAUCAAAGAGGGACAAUAGGAGAACAUAAAUUCAUCAAAGCGCAACAAACAACUACUAUUUUGUCCAAUAUAUCGCAAUCUUCCGGAUUACUUCCUUUUUUAAUCAAACUAAUCGGUAUGGUAUCUUUGACAAUUUUAAAUUUAUUUUUCAUCAUUCCGACAAUUUUCUUAACGUGAAUUCUAACAUGGGAAACGUUUCUAGUUAGCUCUAUAUCCAAAGGAUGUAAUUGAUCCUUAAUCUUUAUAAAAACUUGUAUAUCACAAUUUAUUGAUGAAUCCUCAGAAGUAUCUUCAAUUAAAAACCCCCUAUUCGCUAAAACAACGUCGCCCGGUGAAAUAUAAUUCAAAAAAUCACUAUUCGCAACGAUUUCUUCGUCUGUAGCCGUCCCUUCACAAGCUUUACUAACGUAACUAACCGUUCCCUGUGGAGUGAACCCUAUUAAAAAUUUUAUAAUGUUGUCGUGUUUGUUUUUCGACCAAUACUGUUGUUGGUGCGGUUUUUCGAUAAAAAAUUCGAAACAAUCUACAAUAACGGUCGUUUUGUCUUGAAAAGCUUCUCCGAAACAAGAAGGUAUAUUUUUUUGUGCCACUAAACGGUCCGGGAAUCUUAUUAAAUGCUUGAAUUUGGUAUAAAGAAUAUUCAAAAUGUUUUCGAAAUAUGUAAAACUGGAGGUCGGGGAAAUUUUAAAGUGCCAAGCUAAAUCGCAAAAAUCAUAAUUCAACCUCAAUUUAAUAAGAGCUAGCAGCAACUGAUUAAAGCUACUAAGGGCGUUAGUACUUUGGGUAGUGAUACUAGUUUCGAUAGUUUUGAAAAUAAUAUAAAAUGUAACGUUGUAGGUGAAACCUGUAUAAUACUUCCACUUCAAAUCGUUGCUGGUCUCCUCCCGAAGACCAAACGGUGACAUGUCCAAUUUUUUUUCCAAAUCUUCCAUUUUUCUUGUAGCGCAACUGAGUUGAUCGAAUUUCAAGUAAAGAUCAUUCAUGGUAAGAUCCGUUUGAGACGCGAUACCAGUCUCAACAUGUACCGUGAUAUUUGAUUCAUCAAGUUUAAUAAACUUAAAAUAACAUCAAGUAAAAAUAAUAUUACAGGCCGUUUGUUUUUACACACUUACCUUACCACUUUUAAAUCUUUUUGUGUAUAAAAUAUUCUCAUCGUCAGAUUGUCUUUCAACUUUUGGAGAAUUGCGUCCCAUAUUUUGAGACGGAAUCCAGUCAGGAUGACUGUACUCCUCUAAAGCAGCAGGCUUUCCUAACAUUAAUACAAAAUAUAUUGAAACUUUUCGUCAAUACGAAGCGACAUAUUGAAAUAUAUUUCUAACACACACUUUGCGGUAUUUAAAAUUCGCGCUAACUGAACUCGCUUUACGCGAACGCAUUGAUUGAUCAUUUAAAGCGUGUGACAACCAGUACAAUAUCAAUUGAUUGGUCUUUUUAAACUAAAAGAAUAUGAAUUUAAGUUGGCAAUUCUAUUGAUUCCUGAUUGGUCGAAUUCCGGCCGGUUUUACAUAGCACUUUUGACAUUUAUGACAUAUGACAAUUGUAUAAAUUAUAAACAAAUAUUUUACAUUUUGUUCUUUCUUGCAUAAUUGCUAUUGUUUUAUUAAAAUAUAAAAACAGUUCUUGUAACAACUAAUUUGAAAAUGGACGCAGAUAAUAUUCCAAAUACAGUCGUCUGUAAUUGUAGGUCACUUAUCGUCUAUAGAGAAGUAAAACAUUGUGAAGCUGUAUAAACAAAUCUCAGAUGACGAACCAGAGACAAAGGUGAUUGCCGUUGUGCUUAAAAUUGUAAAAACGUUGGGUAAGUCAUCGAAAAUAGCAUUUUUGUAUCUGGGGGAACGGCAAUGCUCCCGCCAAGUCGAGCAAAAAAUUUUGUCACUGACUGAUCGAUCUUCAAAACUUUAAGGCACUUCUAGUAGGCAUAGAAGCUUCAAAUUUUCAAUGCAAUUACUAUUUAGUGUAUAAAUCACGGAAAAACUAAAAUAUUUUGCAGUUUCAGUUCGGUAGUUGUAAUAUGCCGUCAGUUUUGAAACAAAAUGUAUCAACGCUAUUUAAAAAGGCUCUGUUUUGGACAGAAGAAAGCAAAUAUGAAAAUAAAAAACGAAACAAAGAAAAAAUUCCUUCUGCCAUUACAUCAGAAAGUCGACAGGAAUACCAUGAUAAAAUAACUAGAAAAGAAGUAGGAAGAAAAAGAAAGAAGUGCUGAAGAGAGGAAACGCAAGCAAGAGGUAAAGAAAACAACACAAAAAUCAGUUAAAAGAAAAAAAACUAUGAUAGACUUUGAAAUCUCAUAUGAUAGCGAGGAAUGGGAAGAAAGUAGUGAUAGCAUAGAUGUUCAAUGAGAUAAGGAGGAAUCCGAAGAUGAGGCCGAAUGUGAAAACAAGCAAGAAGUUAAUUUAAAAUCAAAAGGGAAUCUAAAAUUCUAAAUUUUGUAUUGGCAAAGUUUUUGGGAGACUGAUGGAACACGAUAUUUCCACAAUAAAAAUGGAAGACUAAGAAACUGAAUUGCAAAAUAUUGGCGAUUGAAUAAAAUAUACUUUUUCAAAGGAGAUAGAUAUUUUUGAAGCUUAAAUUCUAUUCUUGUACCCAAUUUGAUUAUCUCUCAUAUUUUAUGCCUAAAAAUAAAGUUUUUGUCAAUAAUUGGUGUGUCAAUCAUUGAUACUUGUCAAUUGCUAGUGUGUCAACAACUGAAUAAUAGGUGUCGA
Molecule: long non-coding RNA, 3633 nt
Organism: Diorhabda carinulata
Lineage: Eukaryota; Metazoa; Arthropoda; Insecta; Coleoptera; Chrysomelidae
Exons: 3
Source: RefSeq, a predicted model, not a curated record